This 71-nucleotide transfer RNA is filed under the name Pseudomonadota bacterium. Its description in RNAcentral is "tRNA-Gln". It matches the Rfam family "tRNA". Rfam says of the family: Transfer RNA (tRNA) molecules are approximately 80 nucleotides in length. Their secondary structure includes four short double-helical elements and three loops (D, anti-codon, and T loops). The record is from RNAcentral. Lineage: Bacteria; Pseudomonadati; Pseudomonadota. RNAcentral also lists the same sequence under 2 other names.
UGGGGAAUCGUCUAGCGGUAGGACAUCAGACUUUGGAUCUGAGUGCCCAGGUUCGAAUCCUGGUUCCCCAG